CAACUGUGUGAAUUAAUGUGAACUGCGUACUGCUUUGAACAUCGACAUCUUGAACGCAUAUUGCGGCCGCGGGAUAUCCCGUGGCCACGUCUGGCCGAGGGUCGGCUUAUCAUUUAUCACGACGCUCAAAUAGUCGUGGCCUGGAAGAUGUGCCAGCUGGCGUGAUUUCCCCAUUUUCAUGGGGUGCUGUGCUAUGGCUCCUUCCUAAUGUGUCCGGUUACACCUGGUCUGGGAUUGGGUUCCAGAGUAGGGAUGUGGCGUUGGACGUUGCAUGAGUCGUGGCUCAAUGUCUUGAUCACGCUCAUGUUUGGUUCGCGUCAUGUUUCUCUUUGGGUAUCUAUMUUCUGGACUGUGGCAAUGUGACUGAUGCGGCGUGCCUUGGCAGCCAAUUCAUUUAUUUGACCCUGACCUCGGAUCAGACGAGAAUACCCGCUGAACUUAAGCAUAUCACUAAGCGGAGGAAAAGAAACUAACCAGGAUUCCCCUAGUAACUGCGAGUGAAGGGGGAUUAGCCCAGCACCGAAGCCUGCGGCCGUUUGGCUGCUAGGCAAUGUGGUGUUCAGGUUGUCUCUUGGCAUUACUGCUCCAUCCUAAGUCCAGUACUUAGUAUGGCAUCUGGAG
RNAcentral lists this ribosomal RNA (621 nucleotides) under Hysteromorpha triloba. RNAcentral describes it as "eukaryotic LSU rRNA". The record is from RNAcentral. Lineage: Eukaryota; Metazoa; Platyhelminthes; Trematoda; Diplostomida; Diplostomidae.